UGCCGGUUAACAUUUCCUAUAUAAGCUUUUGCUAGCUCAUUAGUGGCAUAAAAAACAGAAAUCUGUGGUUGAUCUGUUCUAUAAGAUGAUGUUUCGUUUGGCCGUAACUUUGGUGGUAGUUCUUGCCUUGGCGACAUUUACAUGUUCAAUAUCAGUAGAAGGUGACAGUAUGAAACGUGCAGAUACUCCGUGCAUGAGGGGAAGUAACUGUUCUAAUUGUGGAAUAUUAGAUUACUGUUGCCCCGGCAAUUGUUAUCAGUUUAAAACAAUAACACCUACCGAAUGUACAUGUCCAUAAGUCUUACAAGAAACUGAAAGCGAAAACCUCAUUAAACAUUUCUUUUAUAUUCCUUUAUAUUGCUCCAUUUUCUGCAAAUAAACGUUAUCUCAA
Molecule: long non-coding RNA, 391 nt
Organism: Ruditapes philippinarum (Manila clam)
Lineage: Eukaryota; Metazoa; Mollusca; Bivalvia; Venerida; Veneridae
Exons: 3
Source: RefSeq, a predicted model, not a curated record